This is a long non-coding RNA of Diospyros lotus (date-plum), 2476 nucleotides long. RefSeq lists it as uncharacterized. The transcript is spliced from 3 exons. Lineage: Eukaryota; Viridiplantae; Streptophyta; Magnoliopsida; Ericales; Ebenaceae. The record is from RefSeq and is a predicted model, not a curated record.
AUCCGAUUUGCGAGUCAUUUCAGAUCCGGGGAUUCUGGUUCGGAACCGCUCUAGCUCGUUAUCUCAACUUCCCUAGUUUCAAUUGCGUUCUGAGGGGGAGAAGAAAGUGAAGAAAAUCAUACUGCUCUGAACGAGGAGAAAAAGUAGCCAAUCUAAUUCGUCGUCGUCGCCGUCGCUCGCCCUGCGAACUUCACGGUCCGUUCAGAUCUGAUUGUCGAAUUGCUGAUUACUGCUAAGGAAUCGAGGAGUUUGUUGCUGGUUCUUGAUCAUCUGUAUAUAUGCCUGAUGUGUUGUUCGGAUCUAUUGAGAUCAAUGUUAAUCUGCUAAGAUUCUGGUGGUUAUGGAGAAGAUCUAGAGAUUACUGUCAAUCUCACAUGAUUAAAACCCUAAAGAAAUGAUAUUCAGAAUUUGAAGACUUUUGAUUGAAUCUGUAGUCGUAGAUUUUAGGUCUCGAAGGUUAACGUGGUAGAAACUGACUAGAUCGAGCAAUCAUAGUUUACUUAGAGAUAAUCACGAUGGAGACUCUUGUAGUUGUUGCACAGCAUCGGAAUGAAUACCACAGCAGAAGCAGGGCUCAAGGCCAAGCAAGGCUUGGGUGGUUUGGGUCCCCACCUUCUAGGGGCUUCACAGAAAUCAGUUGUCGAACCUUUCAGUCCGGAGCCGGUAUACUUCCAUCUCCGUUGAAUUCUUGUACUACUCCUGUAACCAAACGGGUACCUUCUUAUUUGUCUUCACCCAAAACAGCAUCGCCAUAUUUUCAGUCUCGUAACAGUGAUGAAUCUGAACACUUGAAAAAAACAGCCAGAAGUAGUGCUAUCCCCAUUCCUAUUGACAUCAAUGCUAAUCCGCGCAAGGAGCAGCCUUUCAAUGAUGGAUUGACUUACUCUGAGCUCUGGGCUGGACCAGCAUAUUCAAAUUCACCCCCGCCUAGUUCUUUGCCCAUGCCAAAAUUUUCUCUCCGCCCCAAGAGGACUGUAUCACUUGAAUUACCCUCUUCUCCACGCUGUGAUAUCGAUUUUCACCCAAUAGCCAAGUCUGCACCCCCUUCCCCCACAAGGAACCAUAGCAGCUCUUCUGGCAAUCUCUUUGACAGUGCAGACUCUGCGACGAGGACCCUUCGUCGCAUGCUCAACCUUGACAUUUCAGAUGGAUAAAAUGCAGGAGAUUAAAGUUCCUGUAAAUAAACUAUUGUGCAAAGUUGGUAGUGGUAGAUUGUAUAGAGGAUCAGUAAAUUAGCCUGCUGUGCAACUUUCUAGAAGAUCAUUUAGUGGCAUGCAGUGGUGUUAAAACAAGAGUGAUGGACGGUUGGCCAGUGGUCUGCUGGGAUGCCAUUGAUGCUUGAUGGGACUUCGUUAAUGCAUCUCUUUGCGAAAUGGUUGGGGAACUUACAUGGAUGACUGUUGGCUGAAAUUGAUGCGGAACCAGAAGGGGAAGCAGUUGAUGGAAUUAGGUUGUUAAAAGUGUUUGAUAUUGCAGUGGUUCUGGGGAUUGACGGUUCUGAAGUCUGGUUGCAUAAGAUGAACUAAAGUUUAGUUAAUUAAUGCUGACAUGAAGAUUUAUCUUUCUACAAUCUCAAUGGAGUCAAUCUUGUUCACUUCUUAGGUUUGGUUUUUAGUUUCAUAUACUCUGUAUAUAUUGUAGAAUCCCAACUUGGUUCCUUACACAACUUCUGUACAAUUAUAUCUUUUUCCUGUCAAGAGUCAUGUUUGUCUCCGUACUUAUGACUCCUAUUGUCUUUCCUUCUUACUUGUCCAGUAUAAGUUCUUCUCUUCAUCUUCCCCUGAAUCGACUGCCCGGACAUCCUUUUGUUUCUCCUACUAGUAGCCUGAAUGCGCUGCUCGCAUCACUUUCUUCUCUUUUUUCUCUCUCUUCUUUAGAUAUGACUCCUCUAUCCUCACUCCGAGAGAGUGCUAUCUUCCCCUUCACCACCUUUUCUGUUUUUUUAAUAAGAAAAGGGGGAAGGGGAAGCAAACUAGUUUGUUGCUGCUUUUGCUUUUGGUUGUUCAGGUCGUAUGGGUUAUCUGUGUCAAGCCAUCCAACUCUAAGCCCCUUUGGUUGUUUCCGAGAGUGGGCGAUGCCCCUUUAUCUUCAGUGUCUGUUUUUCACCUGUAGACUCUUUACAUUCUUGGAGGUUGUUGAUUAUGCCGAGCUAUUCAGAAGUGUGCUAGAAGGAAGCCGAACGAAUAACUUCAGGAAGUUGUUUCUCAAAUAAGGCAGUGUUGUUGACAAGUUAUUUUCGUUUUUGGUUCACUGGGUUGUAGCCGUUUCCUGUUUUCUGGUGCCUAUGCCCCCCCUUGUGGGUGGGUGUUAUUAUAUAGAACAAUAGUUUGGUGUUGUUCUGGAAAGUUGCCUUUAUGUUAACACUGGGUUCUGUGUUUUGAUUUGUUGGAGCUGUAAUAGGCAGUGUUGGAUGUAGAUGGAUUUAUUUGCACCUUGUCUUACUACGUUUUAAAAGACUUCUAUGUUAUUUCGUUUA